AUUGAACGCUGGCGGCAUGCCUUACACAUGCAAGUCGAACGGCAGCACGGGAGCAAUCCUGGUGGCGAGUGGCGAACGGGUGAGUAAUAUAUCGGAACGUGCCCAGUCGUGGGGGAUAACGCAGCGAAAGCUGUGCUAAUACCGCAUACGAUCUACGGAUGAAAGCGGGGGAUCGCAAGACCUCGCGCGAUUGGAGCGGCCGAUAUCAGAUUAGCUAGUUGGGGAGGUAAAGGCUCACCAAGGCGACGAUCUGUAGCUGGUCUGAGAGGACGACCAGCCACACUGGAACUGGGACACGGUCCAGACUCCUACGGGAGGCAGCAGUGGGGAAUUUUGGACAAUGGGCGAAAGCCUGAUCCAGCAAUGCCGCGUGCAGGAUGAAGGCCUUCGGGUUGUAAACUGCUUUUGUACGGAACGAAACGGUGAGCUCUAAUACAGUUUGCUAAUGACGGUACCGUAAGAAUAAGCACCGGCUAACUACGUGCCAGCCGCCGCGGUAA
RNAcentral lists this ribosomal RNA (500 nucleotides) under uncultured bacterium. Its description in RNAcentral is "partial 16S ribosomal RNA". It matches the Rfam family "Bacterial small subunit ribosomal RNA", at positions 30 to 523 of the family's 1533-position model. The record is from RNAcentral.